This 2012-nucleotide long non-coding RNA is filed under the name Physcomitrium patens. Its description in RNAcentral is "long non-coding RNA (PPAT_LNC013956)". Lineage: Eukaryota; Viridiplantae; Streptophyta; Bryopsida; Funariales; Funariaceae. The record is from RNAcentral.
AUUAUUAUUUUUGGUUGUGACAUAGUUGUCCCAGUGCUUUUACAAGUUAAAAUAUUUUUGAACUCUCAUUCAAUAAUGGAAGGAUUGAUUGAGGAACUAGCUUCUUGGAUUCCAAUGUUGGGAUUGACUUUGAUGAAGCUCAAAUCAAGGCAUUUUUAUGGUUUGGUAGACAGACCAAUGAGAGCAAAACUCUUCUUUAGAGUCUACAUUUUGAAUUUAUAGGCUUAGUUUUAGUGCUCUGACAAAAACACUUGGUUAAAUUCUUACGAUGUGCUUUGUGGAUUAAUAUUACCAUAUACACAACCAUCCAAGAAGUGACAUUCACAAAGAAGGUUUUGUCUCCGCUUGUUGCCUCCUGAGCAUGGAUCCAUGCUUUGGGUACAACAUGUGGGGACAAAAACAAAUUUAAUAUAUUUAUUUUGAAUCCUUCAAGAAGAGGAAGAGUAGUAGACUAUAGUGCUUGUGUUGGUGAUUGUAAUAUAACACAAGAGGUUUCAAAUUUGAUUCCUAACACUGAUUUUGAUUUCAAUUCUUAUUACUCUUUUUUUUUUUUUUUUUUUUUUUUUUAAAUUGUAAACCACGUUCUUCUUCUUUCUUUUCUUAUUUUUCUUUUUGAAGCAAAGUAUCCUCAACAAGACUCAUAAAUUGUGGAUUUACAAAUUAGCAAGAAAGUUGCCAAACCAAAGGGUUUAAAAUUUGCCAAACAGUUAGAAUUUGGAAAACAUCCAGCAAAGAUGUCCAUCCACAAGAUAUUCUCUCUAUGGUAUCCAAGUUUAAAGUUUCUACCAUGAUUUUGCACAAGGUUUUCAACCCCAUUGGUGUUCACAUGAUUUGCAAGAAUGGGUCUUUGUUGACUGGGUUUGCCUGCUCAGAUGCAUGGAUUCCACCAUAAAACCCUAGGAAAAAUUAUGAUCGCAUUUGUACUGAGUGAGAACAUGGUUGAUAGAAUUUGUAAUUUUCUUAUAGGAAUCCUGUGUUCAUGCAAGUGAAAGCCAAAACAUCACUACAGUCUUCAGCUUAUAGUUUAUGUGGAUGGAGACUCCACUAUUGAAAACAGUGUACAGUCUCUUUAUUUGGAAAUGGAACAAAGCUGUAAGAAAUUCUGGAUGGAAAAUUGACUGAAUUUAAAAAUAAAAUAAGACAUAAAAAUUGCUCAUAAGUGCAAGCUGACUGUUAUAUUUUUGGGUUUAGGGUUUUGAGCAUGUACUUUACAUGUAUGCAUGUAUUCAUUCAUGUAUAAAUGCAAUCAUCUUGUGUGAUGCAUGGUCCUUUACAAAUGAAUAUAUAUAUAUAUAUACAUGAAACAGUGUGCUUUGGCAAUGUUUCAAUACUUGGUCAUGAUAUUAUAGCAUGUAGUUAAAACUUGAAAUUAUCAAAGCAGGAAGAAACAAAUCAAAACAGUAACAACAAUGAAACUUGUCAUAUUAGCAAGUUAUUGGUAAUUAUAUUUUUUUUUAGUCAACUGAGAAGCACAGAUGUUAGAGUUAUGAAUAAAUGAGUAAAUUAAUAUUGAAGAAGAAGAAGGAAAGAAGGAAAUAAACCUUGAAUGAAAAAAAUUAAAAUAACUUUUAAGGCUUAAAUGUGGUGGGUUUCCCCUGUAGAAUAGGAAGGAAAUGGAGGCUGACCCUAAUCAUUCCCUUCACAUGGCAAUCAAAUAUACAGGGGUGAAUGUUGGCCACCAUCUUUGUAAUGGGUACCCAAUAACUCACAUCUGCCCAGUUGAUUUAUUUAUUUAUUUUUUCAAUCUUUAGGGCAAUACCUGCACAAAGCUAGAUGCAUAGGAAGAAAUAUUAGUUGACCAUACUGCUACUACAUAGCUACAAUCAUAUAUAGUUGUGCCUUUUGUCUCUAGUUCCAGUGGCAAUCCCAUAAAGUAAAUCCUCUUAUCAUUCCACUUUUGGACACAGAGUGUUUGUUUGUUUUGCCCUGAUCCUUCUUUGGCUUGAGAUCAAACCUCAGUUUUCUAUAAAAAAAUAUUGGAAAUCAAUCACCUUAUCAAAUCACAUUUAACU